RNAcentral lists this ribosomal RNA (1867 nucleotides) under Escherichia coli. Its description in RNAcentral is "partial 23S ribosomal RNA". It matches the Rfam family "Bacterial large subunit ribosomal RNA", at positions 312 to 2167 of the family's 2925-position model. The record is from RNAcentral. Lineage: Bacteria; Pseudomonadati; Pseudomonadota; Gammaproteobacteria; Enterobacterales; Enterobacteriaceae.
CUGAAUCAGUGUGUGUGUUAGUGGAAGCGUCUGGAAAGGCGCGCGAUACAGGGUGACAGCCCCGUACACAAAAAUGCACAUGCUGUGAGCUCGAUGAGUAGGGCGGGACACGUGGUAUCCUGUCUGAAUAUGGGGGGACCAUCCUCCAAGGCUAAAUACUCCUGACUGACCGAUAGUGAACCAGUACCGUGAGGGAAAGGCGAAAAGAACCCCGGCGAGGGGAGUGAAAAAGAACCUGAAACCGUGUACGUACAAGCAGUGGGAGCACGCUUAGGCGUGUGACUGCGUACCUUUUGUAUAAUGGGUCAGCGACUUAUAUUCUGUAGCAAGGUUAACCGAAUAGGGGAGCCGAAGGGAAACCGAGUCUUAACUGGGCGUUAAGUUGCAGGGUAUAGACCCGAAACCCGGUGAUCUAGCCAUGGGCAGGUUGAAGGUUGGGUAACACUAACUGGAGGACCGAACCGACUAAUGUUGAAAAAUUAGCGGAUGACUUGUGGCUGGGGGUGAAAGGCCAAUCAAACCGGGAGAUAGCUGGUUCUCCCCGAAAGCUAUUUAGGUAGCGCCUCGUGAAUUCAUCUCCGGGGGUAGAGCACUGUUUCGGCAAGGGGGUCAUCCCGACUUACCAACCCGAUGCAAACUGCGAAUACCGGAGAAUGUUAUCACGGGAGACACACGGCGGGUGCUAACGUCCGUCGUGAAGAGGGAAACAACCCAGACCGCCAGCUAAGGUCCCAAAGUCAUGGUUAAGUGGGAAACGAUGUGGGAAGGCCCAGACAGCCAGGAUGUUGGCUUAGAAGCAGCCAUCAUUUAAAGAAAGCGUAAUAGCUCACUGGUCGAGUCGGCCUGCGCGGAAGAUGUAACGGGGCUAAACCAUGCACCGAAGCUGCGGCAGCGACGCUUAUGCGUUGUUGGGUAGGGGAGCGUUCUGUAAGCCUGUGAAGGUGUACUGUGAGGUAUGCUGGAGGUAUCAGAAGUGCGAAUGCUGACAUAAGUAACGAUAAAGCGGGUGAAAAGCCCGCUCGCCGGAAGACCAAGGGUUCCUGUCCAACGUUAAUCGGGGCAGGGUGAGUCGACCCCUAAGGCGAGGCCGAAAGGCGUAGUCGAUGGGAAACAGGUUAAUAUUCCUGUACUUGGUGUUACUGCGAAGGGGGGACGGAGAAGGCUAUGUUGGCCGGGCGACGGUUGUCCCGGUUUAAGCGUGUAGGCUGGUUUUCCAGGCAAAUCCGGAAAAUCAAGGCUGAGGCGUGAUGACGAGGCACUACGGUGCUGAAGCAACAAAUGCCCUGCUUCCAGGAAAAGCCUCUAAGCAUCAGGUAACAUCAAAUCGUACCCCAAACCGACACAGGUGGUCAGGUAGAGAAUACCAAGGCGCUUGAGAGAACUCGGGUGAAGGAACUAGGCAAAAUGGUGCCGUAACUUCGGGAGAAGGCACGCUGAUAUGUAGGUGAAGUCCCUCGCGGAUGGAGCUGAAAUCAGUCGAAGAUACCAGCUGGCUGCAACUGUUUAUUAAAAACACAGCACUGUGCAAACACGAAAGUGGACGUAUACGGUGUGACGCCUGCCCGGUGCCGGAAGGUUAAUUGAUGGGGUCAGCGCAAGCGAAGCUCUUGAUCGAAGCCCCGGUAAACGGCGGCCGUAACUAUAACGGUCCUAAGGUAGCGAAAUUCCUUGUCGGGUAAGUUCCGACCUGCACGAAUGGCGUAAUGAUGGCCAGGCUGUCUCCACCCGAGACUCAGUGAAAUUGAACUCGCUGUGAAGAUGCAGUGUACCCGCGGCAAGACGGAAAGACCCCGUGAACCUUUACUAUAGCUUGACACUGAACAUUGAGCCUUGAUGUGUAGGAUAGGUGGGAGGCUUUGAAGUGUGG